Molecule: long non-coding RNA, 264 nt
Filed under: Homo sapiens (human)
Lineage: Eukaryota; Metazoa; Chordata; Mammalia; Primates; Hominidae
Description: non-protein coding lnc-ZFAND4-2:5
Source: RNAcentral
AAGCCCUCGUCAGAAACAAACACUCAAAAAGGCUUAUUUUAGGAUCAGGAGGACUCUGAGGAUUUGUUUUCUUCUCAAAGUGCGAGUAACUUAAAAGGUGCGUCUCUGCUGCCUGGCAAGCUCCCCACGUCGGUUUCCCUGUUUGAUGAUGAAGAUGAAGAGGAUAAUCUUUUUGGGGGUACAGCUGCUAAGAAGCAGACAUUGUCUCUACAAGCUCAAAGACAAGAGAAAGCAAAAGCCUCCAAGCUCUCCAAAAAGAAAGCA